This 257-nucleotide ribosomal RNA is filed under the name uncultured bacterium. RNAcentral describes it as "partial 16S ribosomal RNA". It matches the Rfam family "Bacterial small subunit ribosomal RNA", at positions 524 to 777 of the family's 1533-position model. The record is from RNAcentral.
GACAGAGGGUGCAAACGUUGUUCGGAAUUACUGGGCGUAAAGCGAGUGUAGGCGGUCUCGUAAGUCGGGUGUGAAAGCCCCGGGGCUCAACCCGGGAAGUGCACUCGAAACUGCGAGGCUAGAGUAUCGGAGAGGUUGGUGGAAUUCUCGGUGUAGAGGUGAAAUGCGCAGAUAUCGGGAGGAACACCGGUGGCGAAGGCGGUUCUCUGGGCCUGUACUGACGCUGAGGAGCGAAAAGCGUGGGGGAGCGAACAGGG